Molecule: ribosomal RNA, 494 nt
Filed under: uncultured bacterium
Lineage: Bacteria
Description: partial 16S ribosomal RNA
Rfam family: Bacterial small subunit ribosomal RNA
Source: RNAcentral
GAUGAACGCUAGCGGCAGGCUUAACACAUGCAAGUCGAGGGGUAUAGGUUUUCGGACCUAGAGACCGGCGCACGGGUGCGUAACGCGUAUGCAAUCUACCUUUCACAGAGGGAUAGCCCAGAGAAAUUUGGACUAAUACUACAUAAUAUUCUAGAAGGGCAUCAUUUUAAAAUUAAAGUCACAACGGUGAAAGAUGGGCAUGCGUACCAUUAGCAAGUUGGUAUGGUAACGGCAUACCAAGGCUACGAUGGGUAGGGGUCCUGAGAGGGAGAUCCCCCACACUGGUACUGAGACACGAACCAGACUCCUACGGGAGGCAGCAGUGAGGAAUAUUGGUCAAUGGGCGCAAGCCUGAACCAGCCAUGCCGCGUGCAGUAUGACGGUCCUAUGGAUUGUAAACUGCUUUUGUACGGGAAGAAACACUCCUACGUGUAGGAACUUGACGGUACCGUAAGAAUAAGGAUCGGCUAACUCCGUGCCAGCCGCCGCCGUAA